Molecule: long non-coding RNA, 348 nt
Filed under: Mytilus galloprovincialis (Mediterranean mussel)
Lineage: Eukaryota; Metazoa; Mollusca; Bivalvia; Mytilida; Mytilidae
Source: RNAcentral
GUCAGUACAACAAAAAUGAUAGACUCAACUAUACAAUCCUGUAAAGCAUUAAAUAUGGUUUAUACUACAUAAUACUUUAUAGACCUUUCUUUAAUUUCUAUUUAUUAAUAUGGUAUGUUAUUUUAAAUUGAUUUACACAACAAACAAAAAAAGCAUGCAUGCGGCGUGUGGUCGAGUAGACCCGCCGGGGAAAAUAUAGUAGUGUAACAAAUUCAAAGCAGAAUUACUGAAUUAUGAAAUUUGAAUGUUCUUUUUGGAUUGUCUUUUUGUAAAUACUUUUUCGACAGCCACCAAAAUAAACUUGACAUUUAUUUUGUGCAACACUUCUAUUACUAUUCCAUUAAUUUG